CACAGGCACAGCUCUUUCCUGCCUGGGGGGCUUGAAGAAGUUACUUAACUUCCCUAUGCAUCAGUUUCCUCAUAGUAAAAAAGACAAUUACUGUACCUAUCUAGUAAGGUUACUGAGAGGAUGAAAUAAAUUAACUUAAAGGAAGCUCUGUAUGGGUUUACCAUGAUUAUUAGUUGUAUAUCCAACUUCCUCAGCCUGGAAGGAAGGGUCUUCUCCCUUUUCUCUGCCUUGCGAACUCCCAUUCCUUCU
This 249-nucleotide long non-coding RNA is filed under the name Homo sapiens (human). RNAcentral's name for it is "HSALNT0105478". The record is from RNAcentral. Lineage: Eukaryota; Metazoa; Chordata; Mammalia; Primates; Hominidae.